This is a long non-coding RNA of Amphiprion ocellaris (clown anemonefish), 3700 nucleotides long. RefSeq lists it as uncharacterized. The transcript has 3 exons. NCBI's taxonomy places the organism in Eukaryota, Metazoa, Chordata, Actinopteri, Pomacentridae. The record is from RefSeq and is a predicted model, not a curated record.
AUCGUAAACGCAGGCUCUCGAUCAAACUCGUGUGGAGAAUGUGGUUUAGCUAGCGCGAGUUUUUUUGCGCCUCCCAAAAUUCCCUGUGCAGGUUGCUAUGGAAGCUCCCGUAGACCAAAAAGUCUGCUGCGCCAUCAAGCCGGUCCGAAUGGAGACAGAUGUUCAGAGGGAGAUGAUGCCACAUCUGGUCCAGCUGAUGGAAGGUCUUGAAGUUCUCUGACUGGCCUCGACUGAAGAUGGUCGUCUCACUGGAUUUAAGGUUCAGAUGCUCAGUAACAAACUCCACCAAUGUGCCAACAGGGAAGCUUUUGGUUUAUUAAAUGUUGCUAUGAAGGUAUCGCUGUUUUUCUUUGUGAAUGCAAUGUGCUCCAACUGAAACUUGAAUUAGAACCUAGAAGUAAAUCCUUCCAUCUGAAAGGAUUUAGUUGCAUUAAUAACCUCAUAACAUUCUAAUUUUUAUUCCAGUCUUGGUUGGAAAUAGAAUCUCUGUAUUUAUUCAUGUAAAAACUGAACUUCACAGCAUGUUGAAGCAAAACAACCAGAUGAAAACUGUGAUGGUGUUGGAUUGUCAGACCAUAAUGUUGCAGCUCAAAGCAGCUUUUCUAGCUCAGUUCAUUCUGACAUUCAGCUAUGAAUCAACACAGCAGAUGGUGAUCCAUGCUGUGGAAGUCUCACAUCUCCUGAUUUAAUGGAGCUGCUUUGCACUUUUUACACUGUUUAUUCACCAACACUUUAUUUAAUAAAAGUCCCAUCUAGUUUUUAUGAGGAAUGUGAUGUUUUAAUUUCUCUGUGAAUAACUGCAGUCUAAUGUAACAGCUGGAAUUGUAACAUCUGUCCUGAUAUUGAUCAUGAAGUAUUGAUCAGAAUACUUAUGGUUAGCAGUCAUCCCUGAAGUUUUACAUUAAAAUCUUUACUUGUGUUGUGAACUUUGGUAAGAAGCAGAAACGUUAGCGUUGCCAUGGAUACAUGAGUGUUAAAUUCUGUCCAUGUUUCCAUUUUGGGAAAUUCAGUCCAGCAGAUGAGUUUGUUUUUACUGCCAGCUACCAUUCAGUCUGAGAUAUUAAGAAUAAAUAAAUUUGCAUAAUGUGGAAAUGAACAGAUUUUAUUUUUAUUUAUUCCUACAGCUGCUGCAAGUAAGUUCCAAAAUGUGGAGGAAUUUAGUCUCACAAUCACAGACAAUAAAUAUUAUCUGAAAGUCGGGUUAUUGUUGUUUAUCAGCACAAUACAAAAAGAUUAAUGUUAGACAUAUUCCAGUUAAGACUCUAGAAUAUCAGGAUUUAUGUAAGUUUACCUCAAUAAUAUGAAUGUUCAGGUUAAGAUUGUGCAGUGAAGUUUAUUAUGCAAGUUUAGCUAAUUAAAGUUUAUGACUGCACUACAGUAUUAUUUAUUAUUUAAAUUUACAUCAUUAUUACAAUAUUUAGGAUCAGACCCUACAGUAUUGAGAUUAAGAAAUCAAAUAUUCUAUAAAAUGUAAAUACACUGAACUCAUUUGGAUAUAUUUAAGUGAGAUUCUACAAUAUUAUUUACGACACAAAUCUAUCUAAAUCAAAAUUUUAAUCAUUUUUACUCCAAAUAUUUACUGGACUGAUUUAAAUAUUAAAAUCACUCCUUUCUAAUCCUCUACUGUACGUUCAAACCUGAGGCCUGAAAUAGAAACACAAGUAUCUGUUUGAAGGAACUUCUGCAGAGUCCUGGUUCCAGAACAUGAUGAUAGAAUUAUAGACAAACUUUAACAAAAGCUGCCUGAGAGUUUACAGGUUUUUAUAGAUAGAUAGAUUAAACCUUUAUUGAUCCCACAGCGGGGAACUUUACAAUGUAACAGCAGCAGAUGGAACAGAAUAAAAAAAGAGAGCAGCACACAAUGCACACAGUGCAUAGAUAUAAAUAUUUUCUCCUUCUAGAAGAAAACAUACAAUAUUUACAGCAAAAUUCCUAUGAAAUUGCACAGCAUCAUUAUGUACAUUUUUAUUGCACAGUUUGUAGGUGGGUGAACUGAGCUACUGGGAGCAGGCUUGAUUGUAAAGUCUGACUGCAGCAGGAAGGAAGGACCUGCAGUAUCUCUCCUUUAGACACCGCGGGUGAAGCAGUCUGUCACUGAAGGAGCUGCCCAGUGAUGUUACUGUUUCCUGCAGGGGAUGGCAGGUGUCCUCCAUGAUAGACAACAGCUUUGUCAUCAUCCUCCUGUCUCCCACCACCUCCACAGGAUCAAGGGGGCAGCCCAGGACAGAAUUGGCUUUCUUUACCAGUUUGUUUAGUCUCUUCCUGUCUGCAGCCGUGAUGCUGCUGCUCCAGCAGACCACUCCAUACAUGAUGGCUGAUGCCACCACAGAAUCAUAAAAGGUCCUCAGAAUUGCUCCCUACACCCCGAAGGACCUCAGUUUUCUGAGCAGGUGGAGUCUGCUCUGACCUUUCUUAUAAAGUGCGUUGGUGUUUGUACUCCAGUCCAGUUUCUUGUUUAAGUGAACACCCAGGUACCUGUCAGAGUCCACAAUCUCAAUGUCUGUUCCCUGGAUGUUCACUGGUGAAGGAGAAGUGUGUCUGUUCCUGCUAAAGUCCACCACCAGUUCCUUGGUUUUCACUGCAUUGAUCUGGAGACAGUUCAGCAGGCACCAGUUCACAAAGUCCGGUUAAGUUCUCUGUACUCCUCCUCAUCUCCAUCCGUGAUGAGGCCGACGAUGGCGGAGUCGUCAGAAAACUUCUGAAGAUGGCAGUUUGUGGUGUGAUGGGAGAAGUCUGCUGUGUAGAGGGUGAAAAGAAAGGGGGCAAGGACAGUCCCCUGUGGGGUCCCCGUACUGCAGACCACAGGUCGAACACACAGUCCCCUGCCCUCACAAACUCUGACCAGUUGGUGAGGUAAUCCAGCAGCCACAUUGUGAGGUGGGAGUCUACUCCUGUCUGCUCCAGCUUGUCCUCCAGAAGCACAGACUUGAUGGUGUUGAAGGCACUGGAGAAAUCAUAAAACAUGAUUCUCACAGUGCUCUUCGUCUUCUCCAGGUGAGAGAGACAUCUGUGCAGGAGGUAGAUCACCGCAUCAUCAACCCCGAUGCCGGGCUGGUAGGCGAACUGCAGCAGGUCCAAUGAUGAGCUCACCAGGGGUUGCAGAUAACAAAGGACCAAGGACCUUUUAUGUUAGAUUUCUUCAGUAAUUUAAUGAGUUGUCAGCAAAAAUCAAGUGUUCAUUUGAUGAACUUCAAUUCCUAAAACAUCCAGAAUUGGAGCUCAUAUCUUUGACAGCUGUAAAGUUUCUGCUCCUUCAAAGUUCACAACACAAUGAAUGAAUUCCUAAAACACUCUCAAUGCUGGAGAGUGUUUGUGAUGCUGAAGCAGUGAUCAGUUUUUCUGUUUCUUCUCUGGAGAUGCACAAUGAGGGACGUCUGCAGUGACUGAGAAAGAGUCUCACCACAUCCUGACAUGAGGAAAAAGACUUUAUUGAAGACUACAAUGAGGAAAAACUAUCCAGACAGCAGAUGGCUGCAUUCAAGUCUGUAGCUGCUGAAUUCAUGGAUGAAUCAUCUGGCACUAGAGAAGAAGACCAUCAAACAUCCACGUCAGCUGAUGGAGGUCCAAGAGUCUCACCAAACAAACAACCUACAGAGUGAAGACCUCGAAUCUGAUUGGACGGCCUCCUAUUCAGCCACAUGUGUGAACAAAUGCCUCUAAGUUGAUUUGUUUUCUAAAAUAAAUCUAGUUUGAGUCCUAA